GUCGUAACAAGGUUUCCGUAGGUGAACCUGCGGAAGGAUCAUUGACACCCGAUCCAUACCAACCCAUGUGCAUGAAGCCUGUGGGCACCCGACCCGGAAGCGGCGAGGGGUCUCUGCGUCAGCGGACCCGCGUAGCUCGCGGAGGGGAGCCGGGCCAGUCUCGCACAACCGGCCAUUUUCUCUAUCUCACAACCAAAACACUCGAUAUGAUCGAACCGUCUGAAUGCGGCGAACGUGAGAGCGUGAGCCAAAUCUAGAACCCAAGAACAACUCUUAACAAUGGAUGUCUUGGUUCUCGCAACGAUGAAGAACGCAGCGAAAUGCGAUACGUAGUGUGAAUUGCAGGGCUCAGUGAAUCAUCGAAACUUUGAACGCAUAUUGCGCUUGUGGGUAACCACAAGCACGUCUGUCUCAGGAACGGUACCCAAAAACCUCAACAUCCAAAAACUCACUUGUGAGUGAGUGACGGAAGGUUGGAGAGUGAGCGUCACGCCCGCAAAUAGGGGGCGCGUCGGUCGAAAAACAAGGGCGCGGAAGCCGGAGCCGAAGGGCCUGAUGAUGGCAAGCCGUGAUGUGCCAGCCUUCCCUCGGGAGGAGCGGCAUCACCGUGAGCCAGCGGGCACCCGACAGAUAAGGAGGCACCGAGAAUAUAGCGACCGAGCGACCGGUUAGAUGAGAAGAGGAGAGAGAGGGCACCAAUGAUAUGUUGGUGCGUGAUAUCUCUGUAUCUUUUCGGAUUCGUUCUGAGAUCAGUCGAGAUUACCCGCUGAACUUAAGCAUAUCACUAAGCGGAGGAAAAGAAACUAACCAGGAUUCCCCUAGUAAUGGCGAAUGAACAGGGAAGAGCUCAAGCUUGAAUCUUCGGAAUUGUAGUCUAUAGGUGACAUCUCGUGCAGACCCGGGUAUAAAUCCGUUCUUGGAACUGGGUGCCAGAGAGGGUUAGAGCCCCGUCUUUGACUCGGUGUAUGCGCGUGGCGAGGUGUUGCUAGAGAGUCGGCUUGCUUGGGAAUGCAGGUCAAAAUGGGUGGUAAACUUCAUCUAAAGCUAAAUAUUGGCGAGAGACCGAUAGCGAACAAGUACUGUGAAGGAAAGAUGGAAAGAACUUUGAAAAGAGAGUGAAAAAGGGCCUGAAAUUGUUAAGAGGAUAAGUGGUUGGAGCAUAUCAUAUCAUGCGGGGUCUCUGGGGCGUCUGCGCCCCUUUUAUGCCGUGUGGUUGGUCAGCAUCUAUUCGUGGCGGGGGAGAAUGCCUGGUUUGAUCCCUCCGGGGUGACGGCUGGGAGAAACCCUGUCGGGGAUAGAGGCACAAAGAGCGCGCAUAGCGGCCGGCCCCUCUUGCGGUGCCUUGUAGUUGGACGAUCCUCCGGGCAUUUUCUUUCUAUGAGGUUUCGAUGGGAGGGAGCGCUGGACCUGCGCUCUAAAGAUGCUGGCACAAAUGGCUUCAACCAGCCCGUCUUGAAACACGGACCAAGGAGUCUAACACAUAUGCGAGUAGUAAGGUGGCAAACCUUGGAUGCGCAAUGAAAGUAACGUGGUUGGAUUCGCAGGAUGCACCAUCAACCGACCAGGAUCUUCUGUGAAAGGUUUGAGUAAGAGCAUAUAUGUUGGGACCCGAAAGAUGGUGAACUAUGCGUGAA
RNAcentral lists this ribosomal RNA (1634 nucleotides) under Chroomonas mesostigmatica. RNAcentral's name for it is "eukaryotic LSU rRNA". The stretch from base 740 to 1634 matches the Rfam family "Eukaryotic large subunit ribosomal RNA", at positions 1 to 841 of the family's 3401-position model. The record is from RNAcentral. Lineage: Eukaryota; Cryptophyceae; Pyrenomonadales; Chroomonadaceae.